UCCCGUUUAGCUCAGCUGGUAGAGCGCGUCACUAGUAAGUCACGUGGGCUUUAGCCCCUUACUCAUGACGAGGUCAGUCGUUCAAGUCGGCUAAUGGGAA
Lactifluus volemus is the source of this 100-nucleotide non-coding RNA. The record is from the annotation of a GenBank genome assembly. Lineage: Eukaryota; Fungi; Basidiomycota; Agaricomycetes; Russulales; Russulaceae.